RNAcentral lists this unclassified non-coding RNA (349 nucleotides) under Hevea brasiliensis (rubber tree). Lineage: Eukaryota; Viridiplantae; Streptophyta; Magnoliopsida; Malpighiales; Euphorbiaceae. The record is from RNAcentral.
GGGAUUUCUCCUUACUGGAUGGUGUCUUUAUGGAAGUGACGAAGGAUCUAAUCUUGGUCACCUUUUCCGGCUGGGCUUUGUGACAAGCCUGAGUUUCUGCCAUGCCUCUCCCGCUGUUUUCCAGCCUUGGUUCUUAAUCCUCCUGUGCGACUGUUUGCUACAUUACUGGCCUGUUUUUCUUCUGAAUUUGAAGAAUUUGCUUACAAGCUCUUUGAUACGAGUGAGGUGUUGUGUUUUUCUGCUGUUUUAGUUGAGCCUCCCAUGAUUCAUUUGUUGGAGAUGGUAGUUUCAUUCUUUGCUUUGGCUGCUGCAGAUUCGGAUUCGGGUCAUGCACCCGUUUGUAGUCCUA